RNAcentral lists this unclassified non-coding RNA (803 nucleotides) under Hevea brasiliensis (rubber tree). The record is from RNAcentral. Lineage: Eukaryota; Viridiplantae; Streptophyta; Magnoliopsida; Malpighiales; Euphorbiaceae.
GAAAUGACUGCUGCAAAAGUGUAUUCAUUAGGCCUGACACCUAUUUCUUGCAUUCUUAUAAAUGCUCUAAGAGCAUUUUCCUCUUGACCUAUCUGAGUAUAUGUCGUUAUUAUCAUUGUCCAGGAAACCACAUUCCUUAUGGUCAUCUUUUCAAACAAAUGUGAACCAUAGUCCAAUUUCCCACAUUUGUUGUACACGGUAGCAAGAGUGUUGGCCACAAAUGAGCUUGCUUCGAGGCUUCUUUUCAAUAUUUGACAAUGAAUCUCUCUCCCAUAAUUCAAAGCACCUGAAUCAGCACAUGCCUUUAAUGCAAUAGCAAAUGUGUAGGAAUCACAGACCACCUUUGAUCUCCACAUUUCAGAGAAGUAAACCAGCCCCUCCUUACUGUAACCAGCAUGAACAAGCCCUGUUAUAAUUGCAGUCCAGGACACUACAUUUCUUGUAGGCAUCUCAUGAAAGACUGUGCAACCUUGUUCAAUUUCACCAACUUUCAUGUACAUAUCCAGAAGGGCACUCCCCACAAAAACUGAGUUAACAAAAUCGGUUUUUACCGAAUACGCAUGCACUGAUUCACCAAAACUUGUAAUCAAACUGAGCCCACAAGCUUUGAGUGCAAGGCUUAGGAUAAAGGGGUCCAUGUGGAGUCCUGGCUCAACCCACAUUUUAGAAAACAACGUUAAGGCCUCAGUGGUGUUCAUGGCGUUGACGUAUCCAGAUAUAAUUGUGGUCCAUGAAAUCUCGUCUCUGGAAUGCAUUUUAUCAAACAUUUGGCGGGCGUCCCGCAAGCGAUCGGUUUUGACCAG